CGGCCCCCCCGAGGCAGAUUACGAAACGCAGCGGAGUCGGAGACUCCUCCCAGCCAGGCCUUCAGUCCCAUGUGGCCCUGUCAGAGGGGCUGGGCGGCUUUCUCAACAGCGUCCUCAUCUGAGGGAAAUUAUCACUUAUUUUGUUUUAUUGUAUUUUUUUUUUUAACAAAUAUCUGAAAGGAAUUGCAACAUUAUAACUUUUUUAACAGGCAGGCUUCGGUGUGGGUCAGAAGACACCAGAGCCCGUUCGGUGAGACUGAGACCGUGAAGGAAGAGUGAGUCACCAACCCAACUUCCUCUCCGCUCACAUAGCAACCCGGGCAGGAGGAGAUCGUGGGGGAUUUUUCGUGGGUAAACAAGAGUGACUAACCGGCUCAUAUCGCAGCAAUAACUGCUUUGAUAUUUCGCAGGGCUAGAAGCUUCUAGAAGAGUUGAGGGCUCAAUAAAGACUGUUGUCUACAGUGGUUUUUUUCUGUAUCUGACAACGGAUUCCGUGUGGACAGUUGUCAUCCUGAGACGUCGGAUAAGAGGAGCCGUCAGCACGCGGGGCGCUGGUGACCUACCGUCUGACUUCCAAGGAGGAAGGGGCCGGGAAACGAAAGGGGUCCCAAAGACCAGGGCACGUGAAGGGAGAAGAAAACCGAUUGAGUUCAUUGGAACCAAGUUUGCGAAGGAGGAGUGUUGCCGUCUGGGUUUGAAAACCUUUGAAUGUGCAGGAGUGAGUCAGGCGGAAUCAGGGGGGUCUGGCUGGUGCCCAGAAUAUCGUUGGCGUGUUGUCAGGACUCUUGAUGACAGACUUGGGUUCUGCGUACCGGGGCGCACUGGGUGCUCUUAAUGAUGAAGUUCUAGAACCUAGGUGAGGUUCGGUGGGCUGAGGUCUGGAGCCGAUGAUCAAGAAAGAAUUCUUGAGAGCAAAAUGGUGGUUUAUUAAAGCUCGGGGAAGGACCAGUGGGCCGGAAGAGCUGCUGCCCCGGGUAGUGAGGGGUGGCGGUUGGGGGAAGGUGAGCGGAAGGGAGGCUUCAAUGGAGCUUUCAUACGCUAAAGAGGCCCUACCGGGUGUGGGGAUACCGGCCUCGGGCUUGACGGUUGUUGUCUUUUGGCCGGCCAUUAACAUCCACAUCCUUGGGAGAUUCCUGGUGGGCUGUCACAAUCCUGCUAUCAAGCGUCUUUGUUAGUGAGAUUUAGGUUUGGAAGAGAUUUAACUGUAUUUACGUUCCCUUCUACUUCAGCCUCCUUCAGUUUUGUUUAUGGUGGGGAGGAUGACAUUAGGGUUUGAGGAACUGAGUUAUUUGCCUCUGGAAAUUGUGCUAUUGAUAAGGUAACUUCUUUGUUUGUAGAUCUCUAAGACAUUUGUAAGCCAAGGGAGACUCAGGUCUUGCAGGACUGUGCUCUCAGCAAGUUAACUCUUUGUUUUUCUUUUAGGGCCGUCAGGGGUGCCUGAGGAAUGUCACCUGUAUUACCGAGGGGAGGAGGGGAGGGCAGCAGGUGGAGAGGGGGUGCCAGGUGCCAGCCUUUGCUCCCUCAUCAUUAACAUGAGGAGUGGAGGGAUGCUGGGGAGGUCAGAGGGCCCCAAACCAGAGGCCAGGAGGCAGAGGACAGGAAUAUCCAUAAUUCAGGAUGUUUUCUUUUCCCUGUACUAGAAACUAACUUCCGUGGGGGUGAUGCCGUCCAUUGUUUCUCCAGUGAAAACACACAGGCUACUGGCCCAAAGGGAAGGCAGAACAAGACUCCUACAUCCUUAUGAUGUAGGUUCACAAUCUUCAUAAAAGCUCUGGAAGCCGCAGCCAGCAAAGGAUUCUUGAGACAUCUUUGGAGCAAAAAGGUGAUUUUUAUUAAAGCACAGGGACCGGACCCCUGGGCAGAAAGAGCCCUGCGCUGGGGUUGUGAGGAAUGGUGGAUUAUAUACUAGGGAGUUGGGGGAGGUAAGACAAAAGGGAGGCGUCCAAAAGGACUUUGAAAUGUUCAAGACCCUCAGGAUACUGGAGGCCUGGCUGUUGGCAAGCUAAAGCAGUUUUCCCGUCUAGCAAAGCAAUCACGUGGGGAUGGUUGGGAGUUUCCCAGUGGAAGCAUUCUAUCCUCUCCCGUCUCUAGUCCUUGUCUGCAGGCUACAGGUCAGGAAGAAAUUUAACUUUGUUUACGUUUCCUUCUGCCUCAGUUUCCCACAUCACUUGUGGAAGGGAGGGUGAUGUUAGGGCUCUAGGAAAUGGAGUUAAGGGUCUCUGAAACUUAGCCUAUUGAUGUGUAAAUGAGUAAGACAUCAGGAAGACGGAGGGAGCCUCCUGUCUUGCUAGACUGUGAUCUCCAUUAGUUAAUCAGUUCCCCCCCCCCCCUUCCCUGAGCUUUAGGGCAGCUGGGAGUGUCUGAGGAAUGGCACACGUGUCCAAGGGUGGGGACAUGUCACACAUAUCCAAAGGUGGGGCUGGGUGGUCGCGGGGUGUAGCUAGUGCUCUGUCCUCCGCUUGCUUUCUGCUCCCUCAUCACAUCGGUGCACUUAGAAGGAUAAAAGCAAACCAAAGAGUGAAAAACAGAUGCACCUUUGCCCUGACUCCUAGUCAGUGGUCCAGCAGUUGGUGACUUGGGUCAUUCUAGAAAUCCACGUUGAUUUAUCAGGCCCUCAACCCAGUGAAAGAUCAGUGUUCCAGAAUUUGCAAGGCUUCCUUGUAAUGAUACCAGCCCACUGGGAGAUGGAAGAACUCUUAAUAUUGGGGGUGGGAAUGUCUGGGAAAUGUGCGUGACCUCCUGUCAUCUCAAGUCCUCUUCCCAAGUGCUGACUGAGAAGACCCCUUAAAAUCCUCAGGCAAGAGUCACCACCAGGUUGAUGCCCUUUGUCUGUGUUGCUGACAGAGAGGUCUCCUACGGGGAGGAGCUAGAGCAGGGAGAGGGCAUCCGCACCGAGAAAUAACGGGCAGGUCCUUAAAUUCCGUCUUAGACCUGGGGCUGCAGAUGAAGGUCUAGCGAGCUGGAGUUUCAGAGACGAAAACUGGAGGGCGGGUGGCGGGCAUCGGGCCGAGCACCGUCCAAUCGGAACUCCCCACCUCUGGUACUUCAGGGCCCGAACAAAACCUGUUCCUGAGCCAACCAAGCUAUUUACAUGUUUACCAAGUUAUCCGGCACAGGAAUUAGUAUCUUGUAAGAACCAACACUUGGCUGUAUUAAUUUUCGUUGUGUUUUGUGUCUAUUUUACUGUUUGUUUGCUGUUUACUCCUUUGUUUUGUCUGUUUACCUCUGUUUCACAAUAUACAAAAUCAGAUUUGUGCAUCGACUUCUGUUUAUAGCUUUGUUACUUCUAUAUACUACUUAUCAUUUGCUUUGCUCCUUUUUUCCCCUAAUGUUGGAAGACGUCAAUUUCUAUCAAUUAGAUUAGUACUCUCUUCUUUUAAAUUAAAACACUUGAAAAGUAAUGUUUUUUCUCUUAGCACUACUUUUGCCUGGCUCCCUACGUCUUAAGGGAUGUGAUUUUAUCAUCCCCGAUCAUCUUUGGCAUUAAGUAAUGGCUUAUUAUGAAAUGUGCUACAUGAUCUCAAGCAAGUUGAAAAUGUUCUAGAUAUUGUAAUAUUGAUUUCUAAUUUAGUCUUGUUGCGGUCAUGAAAUAUGCUCUUAAGAUUUCAGAGGUGAGCUUUAAUGAGACUCACUUUAAGUCCCUGCCUAUGUCUUACUUUGAUGAGCAGAAAGGUGUUUUUCUUCUUGUUCUAUCAGUUACUGUGUCAGAGUUUUUAAGUAUCCAUGAUUGUUGAUUUAUCUUAUACUGUAUUAAUGCUAUUAAGUUUUGCUUUCUAAUUGGAAGCUUUAAUUAGAUGCAUUUUAUGAGUGGCUAUAAAUUUCUGAUAAAUUGGCCAAGAUAAUUCUCAAGCUUCUCUUUUUGUCCUGUCUCUAACCUGCUUUCUCUGACUCAUGUCAGAGCUUGGCUUAGCCUUAGUUAAAGUGGAUUUGUGUAACUCCCACGCUGUUUUCCUGCUCCUGCUUAUUUGUCAUGACUCAAACUCAGACUCAUGUCAGGGAUUGGUCUGGGUUUUCUUGGGGUGUGUUUCAUAACAGCCCCUGCUCUGGUGCUUGGGCCUUCUUCCCAGGAUUCAGGCUCUCGGGUGUCAAGCUGGAUGACAAGAGUUUCUGUCUCCGCUUCAGCCAUCUGAUAUGUUCCCCAGCACUGUUGGCCAUCUUGUGCCUCGACUGCUUUUCAGCUUUAUUGACAUGUCACAGACACAUAACGCUGUGUACCUUUAAGGCAUAUGUGUUGAUUUGAUACACUUACAUGUUGCAAAAGGAUUGACCUGAGCCUUAUCUAAUACCUCCUUCAUAUCACUUAAUUGCCAUCCUCGCUUGUGCUGAGAACAUUCGAGGUUUGCUCCCUCAAAUAUGUGAUCUGCGUUGUUGACUGCAAUCAUGAUGCUGUGUAUCACACCCCCAGAACCCGCUCAGUUUAUACCUGCCAGUUUGAGACUUGACCAAUAUCUCCUCAUUUCUCUGCACCUACCCAGCUCCUGGUAAGCUACACUCUACUCUUUCAGUGAGUUCAGCUUUCUUUCUUUCUUUUUUUUUUUUUGGAUUCUACAUAGAAGUGAGAUCAUCCAGCAUUUGUCUUCCUCUGUCUGAAUUAUUUCGCUUAGCUUAAUGCUUUCUAAAUCCAUCCAUCCAUGUGGUCACAGAUAGCAAGAUUUCCUUCUUCAUGGCUGACUAAUAUUCUACUGUGCAUAGACAUCGCAUUUUCUUUAUCCAUACACCACUGAUGGACACGUAUGUUGUUUCCAUAUUUUACCUAUUGUGAAUAAUGCUCCAAUAAACAUGGAGGUGACGUAUAUCUCUUUGAUAUCCUGUAGUCCCCUUUGGAUAUAUACCCAGAAGUCGGAUUGCUGGGUCAUAUAGUAGUUCCAUUUUCAGUUUUUUGAGGAACCUCUAUCCUGUUUCUGACCAUGGCUACACCAGUUUGCAUUCCACUGACAGUGCACGAAGGUUCCCUUUUCUACAACUUUGCCAGCAUGAUUAUCUCUCAUAUCUUUGAUAAUGGCCAUUCUAACAGGCAUGAGGGGACAGCUCAUUGUAGUUUUUGGUUUGCAUUCCCUGAUGACUGAUGUUGAGCAUUUUGUCAUGUACCUGUUGGUUAUUAAUAUGUCUCCCUUGGAAAAAUGUCUGUUUAGUUCAACUGCCCAUCUUUGAAUGGGCAGAUCUGGGGAUGGAACUCAGUAUUUCCCUGCAGCUGGAGAUGGGGAAGCAUCUUCCAAAAUAUUGGCCUCUCUGUAUAAAACAGCGAUCGUGCUUCUUCCAGAGAAACCAGUGACACAAAUGCUCCCCUUCAGAGAGCAUAAGUGCAGAAAGGAGUUAUUUUUUGUGGGGGGAGGAAACUGAAUAAAACUUUCUCCAGGGCCCAGGAUUCACUGAUCUUCAGAUAGGCUGUGGUAUACACAGUGUACCGGGAACAGAAGAGACAGGUGACUUGGAGCCCAUCAAAAUGAGAAACUUGAGUGCAUCAAACUACGAGAGCAACAGAGUGAAAAGGAAACCUUUUCCUUUGGAAAGACAGAAACUGUUUGUGAAUUCUGUAUCCGCCUGUGAGGAAUUAAUGCAGAAACACCACUACUAAUCAGUGAAACACAGAUUGUAAGGACCUAUUUUAUAUUUUUAUUUUAGCCAGAGGCUUCCCCUGAGGUUCAACAAUAACUUUGUGGUUUAACCCCUAGACUGUCCCUGCUCCCCUUCCCCCAGGGGACUUAAAAACGAGUCCUGGAAACCAGCUCCAGGUGUGGAGGCCAAGAAAAGCAAGGCUGUACCCACCUCGGGUCUGGCCCUGACAUAAGCACAGCCAUCCUGGCAAAGCAAAGCCAGCACCUUGCGCUGUAAGAGUGGGUUAGCAUCAGAAUGGCCACCCUGAGGACCGGGAAGCCAUUUGACUGAGCGUCCCUAACCAGCCCACAGGGUGCCCAUAACUUGAGAUAAGAGAAAGUAGCUAAAACCUAAGAAACAAGUUAACCAUAUACCACCACAGGGACCAAAUGUUGAAGAAAAACAAAUAGUUCACUUGCAGAGGUCACAAUCCUGCUAGACUGGAGUCUCCCUUGGUUUGCAAAUGUCCCGGUGAUUUACAACAAAAAGGGCCAUCUCUUGAAUGGCCCAAUUUCCAGAGACAGAUUGCUCAGUUCCUCAAGGCCUACGGUCGCCCUCCCCACCAUAAAACUGAAGGAGGCUGAGGCAGAAGGAAAUGUAAAUAAAGUUAAAUUUCUUCUAAACCUAAAUCUCACUUAUUCUAAACCUAAGUCUCACUUAACCGCCAGGAGGGCGCCAGGGUGACGCUGGGGUGGCAAAAGGUUAAACAAAGUUAAACUGUCAAAGGGGGGCACAAGAGAUGUAUGUAGCUGUGAAGAAGUGCCUUGAAAAUGCUACAUCAACCCUUGGCUUGGAGUGCUCGGGGGCCUUGUUGAAACCCGCUGCGCUGGGCGGAUACUUGGACCCCAGCGAGCUGGAAAUAAACCUCACUGUGUGACUUGCAUUGUCGAGAGUGUUCUCUGUCUAACUGAGGGUGGUCAACUCCAUACCCUAACAAGGUGACCGACCUGGUUUAAAAAUGGGCAAAGACUUUGAAUAGACUUUUUUUCAAAAACGCUCUACGAAUGGACAAUGAUCAUAGGAGAAAAUGGGCCCUAAUACUUGAUACUCAUUGAAUAGUCCUUAUGGAAAUGAAAGUCAACACAGUGAGCUACCACAACAGGCCCGCCAGGACCGCUGCUCCCAAACAGAAAACAGCAAGAACCAUCAGGAUUCAGACAAGUCACAACAACCCUUGUGCACUGUGGCUGGACAUGUAGAACAAGGCAGCCAUUAUGCAGAGAAUAUGAAGCCUCGUAGAAAUUAGAAAUAGAAUCAUUGCGAUCCAGGAAUUCCAGUGCUAGGCUCAGAGCCACAAAGUGAGAGCAGAAUCCGAAAGGAACAGCGACAGACCUUGGAUAUCCCAGCAGCCUUCGCAGGAACCCAGACAUUGGAGCAACGCAAGUGUCCGUGAACGGGUGAGUGGGUUAAUAAAGCGCGGUGUGUGAUGCAAUGGAAUAUCAAUAAUUCCACCUUAAAAAGGAAGGAAAUUCUCAUUACGGUCAGUGCAUUCCUCAUCCCACCCCCAACCUCCCCCACGCCCUUCCCAUCUCCCCUCUGACAACCACCACUUUGUUCUUUGUAUCUAAGAGUCUCCUUUUUCUUGUACAUCUGAAACUGCUGUACCACCAUAUACUAUGAUACUUGAAUGAAAAUAAAUAAAUACAUAAAUGUGAUCAUUUAUAGGAGAAAGGAAAAAAAAAAAAGAAAGAAAGAAAAUUCUGGCACCUGAUCAACCUGGAUAAACUUUGAGGACAUUAUGCUCAGUGAAGUAUGACAGUCACAAAAAGACGAAUACUGUAUGAUUGCGGUUGUAUGAGUACAUAUACUUGCACAGAUGGGCAAGCUAUCUGUAAAAUACACCACUGAAAUCAAGAGAAUGACAAUGAGAAAUGGACACACUCACCCUCAGAAGGGGUGGUUUCACCGUCUCCACUGCUGAAAGAACAAGGAUGUGGAAUCCCAGGCUGGUAAACUCUUCGCAAGCACACAUGGAAUAGUAACAGAAUGUUCUCCACGUGCCAGGCCACACAAAGUCAACGUGUACCCCCAAGCCGGGUCAUGUGUUUAAAACUCUCUCUUCCUUACCCCUUGGCACCAGGGCAAGUUGUCUGUGACGCAGUGAAGGAGGAACCAUCCAAAAAGGGUUGAGAAUGCCUCUGUCCCUUGUAGUAGAAUGAAACUCAAAACAAAAUUAAAGACUCGAGAAAAAGUAAAGAAGCUA
Molecule: long non-coding RNA, 7798 nt
Organism: Mustela lutreola (European mink)
Lineage: Eukaryota; Metazoa; Chordata; Mammalia; Carnivora; Mustelidae
Exons: 3
Source: RefSeq, a predicted model, not a curated record